Molecule: ribosomal RNA, 790 nt
Filed under: uncultured bacterium
Lineage: Bacteria
Description: bacterial SSU rRNA
Rfam family: Bacterial small subunit ribosomal RNA
Source: RNAcentral
AGAGUUUGAUCAUGGCUCAGGAUGAACGCUAGCGGCAGGCUUAAUACAUGCAAGACGAACGGCAAGUUGAAUAGCAAUAUUUGACCUAGAGUGUCGCAAGGGUGCGUAACACGUAUGCAAUCUACCCGCAACAGGAGAAUAGCUCGGGGAAACUCGAAUUAACACUCCAUAAGAUCACACGAGGGCAUCUGAANNGAUUAAAACUGAGGUGGUUGCGGAUGAGCAUGCGUAUGAUUAGCUAGUUGGUAGUGUAACGGACUACCAAGGCAAUGAUCAUUAGGGGAACUGAGAGGUUGAUCCCCCACACUGGCACUGAGAUACGGGCCAGACUCCUACGGGAGGCAGCAGUAGGGAAUAUUGGACAAUGGGUGAGAGCCUGAUCCAGCCAUGCCGCGUGCAGGAAGACGGCCUUCUGGGUUGUAAACUGCUUUAGCCUGGGGAUAAAACGACCAUGCGUGGUUAAUUGAAGGUACCAGGAUAAUAAGCCACGGCUAACUACGUGCCAGCAGCCGCGGUAAUACGUAGGUGGCAAGCGUUGUCCGGAUUUAUUGGGUUUAAAGGGUGCGUAGGCGGUUUCAUAAGUCAGUGGUGAAAUACGGCAGCUUAACUGUCGAGGUGCCAUUGAUACUGUGGAACUUGAGUACAGACGAGGUAGGCGGAAUUGACGGUGUAGCGGUGAAAUGCUUAGAUAUCGUCAAGAACACCGAUAGCGAAGGCAGCUUACUAGACUGUAACUGACGCUGAGCACGAAAGUGUGGGGAUCAAACAGGAUUAGAUACCCUAGUAGUCC